GACGUAGGGUGCGAGCGUUGUCCGGAUUUAUUGGGCGUAAAGAGCUCGUAGGCGGCUCGUCGCGUCGACCGUGAAAACUCAGGGCUUAACCCUGAGCUUGCGGUUGAUACGGGCGGGCUAGAGUUCGGUAGGGGAGACUGGAAUUCCUGGUGUAGCGGUGAAAUGCGCAGAUAUCAGGAGGAACACCGGUGGCGAAGGCGGGUCUCUGGGCCGAUACUGACGCUGAGGAGCGAAAGCGUGGGGAGCGAACAGGAUUAGAAACCCCCGUAGUCC
This 273-nucleotide ribosomal RNA is filed under the name uncultured bacterium. RNAcentral describes it as "partial 16S ribosomal RNA". It matches the Rfam family "Bacterial small subunit ribosomal RNA", at positions 524 to 796 of the family's 1533-position model. The record is from RNAcentral.